Molecule: ribosomal RNA, 253 nt
Filed under: uncultured bacterium
Lineage: Bacteria
Description: partial 16S ribosomal RNA
Rfam family: Bacterial small subunit ribosomal RNA
Source: RNAcentral
UACAGAGGGUGCGAGCGUUGUCCGGAAUCACUGGGCGUAAAGGGCGCGUAGGCGGCCUGUUAAGUCGGGGGUGAAAUCCCGUGGCUUAACUGCAGGGCUGCCUCCUAGACUGUUAGGCUCGAGCACGGUAGAGGCAGAUGGAAUUCCCGGUGUAGCGGUGGAAUGCGUAGAGAUCGGGAAGAACAUCGGUGGCGAAGGCGGUCUGCUGGGCCGUUGCUGACGCUGAGGCGCGACAGCGUGGGGAGCAAACAGG